This is a long non-coding RNA of Neopsephotus bourkii (Bourke's parrot), 520 nucleotides long. RefSeq lists it as uncharacterized. The transcript is spliced from 3 exons. NCBI's taxonomy places the organism in Eukaryota, Metazoa, Chordata, Aves, Psittaciformes, Psittacidae. The record is from RefSeq and is a predicted model, not a curated record.
CUCCACUCCCUAUUCUGGAGGGAAAAAGAGUCCUGGAAUUCUAGUGUAGGGUGUCAGUUCCUUAAAAAUCCCGAUAUUUCAGGGCGCGGAUGGAUCUGAAGUUGCGGGACAGCCAGGGUGGGCAGAGGCGCACGGUCGGCAUGGAUUGGCGCACCAGUGAGAAGAGCGGAUGUUGAUUGGCUGAUAGGGAAGGGCGAGGGUAAGGAAAGCUCUGGCACAUUCAGGAGCUGCCCAGCGCUGAUUCGUGCGCGGUGAGGUCUAAAUGACCCCAAGGGACAUGUGGCAAUUAUCUAUGCUGUCGAUGUGAGGAGACUUCUAAAGAGCAUUUUAUGAAGAUGCCAUCACAGUCUGCCUCCUGGCUGCGAGUCUUCUGGAUCUGAUCCAAGCUGCACUGCAGUGAAGGAGCUCUCUUUGUUCACAUUCCCUCUGCUGCAUCUGAGCCCACUGAGCAUGUGGUUUCUAGGGUGGGGUUUUUUAGCAGGAUAGCAAAGAAGCACCUUGAAAAAAAACAACAACAAAA